Molecule: non-coding RNA, 5278 nt
Organism: Delphinapterus leucas (beluga whale)
Lineage: Eukaryota; Metazoa; Chordata; Mammalia; Artiodactyla; Monodontidae
Source: RefSeq, a predicted model, not a curated record
AAAUAAAUAAAAUAAUGAUAAGAAAUAAAUAAUAAAUAAAAAUAAGGCAGUAGGUGGCACUCACUUCCCUCUUGUUAGCAGAAAAUUGUUAAGAGUGUUCAGCACUACCUGAUUCUCGUUGAUACACAUGUUUUCAUUGACAAGAGGCACUCUGUCCACAGCCCUAGUCCGGUGUUUCUCAAACGUUUGUAUGUAGAGGAAGAACUUGGGGUGCUUGCUUAUUAAUGCAGACUUCUUAUGGGUUUCGCCCAAGAGAUUCUGAUUCACUAGAAAUAUGUUUUAAACAAGCACUUCCAGGUGAUUCUGUUGUAGGGGACUGUACUUUGAGAAUAUCCCUCUAGUCAAAUGAAAAAUGUAGCUUUAGUGCCAUGUUUUAAGAUGGCAUUAAUUAUAGAUACUAUUUACUGGGACCUCAUUAUUUGACAUGUUCCAUGCUAUAUUUUACAAAUAACUGUCUCAGGGUCACACAGUUUGUGAAUAUUGGAGCUAUGAUUUAAACUCUAGGUUUAAGUACCUGGUUCUGCAUACCUAGCGAAUAUACAGGUAUUUUCUGGGCCUCUGCAGUUACCUUAAUAUGUGGGUAAAAAGGCAAAGAGCUCAGUGGAGUAAGCCACUGAGGUUUAGGGCAGAUUCUGGGUCCUAAGCUAUUAUAGCGUGGAAUCAUGGAAAUAACACUGGAGUGGUGGAAAGGGAACUUUAUUCUAGUCCUGGCAUACUCAUUAACCAGAAGACGACUUUGGGCAGGUCUCCUCCCUCCCUGGCCUCCAUUUCAUUCAUCUAGAAGAUAAGAGGCUCAGUGUUGUCUGUAGACCACCUUCUUCAGAAUCACCUGAAGGAUUUGUUAAAAGAUCCAAAUCCCUGGGCCCUAUCUCAGACUUAGUGAGUCAGGAUCUGGUGUGGGAGACCAGGGGGUUUGCACUUGUAAUGAAUGCCCCAGUGAUGUGUGGCUAGAGAAUCGCUGGGCCAGAGGGUCUCUGGGCUCUCUUUCAGUGCAGAUGCUCCAUGAGUUUUAGCCUUGAGUUUUGACUUCCUCGGGUGUGACUAAAACACGCCAGGUGGUGAUGUGGACUCCGUGACUAUAAAUUACGUAAAUGAGGUUGCUGCUUCAUCAGGCUGUUAAAGCUGUUUUGAAAGAGUUAAGGACAAAACAGAUGUUAGAUUCUAAUGAAGAAAGUUUGCUUGUGAUCUAAGAUUCAGCCUUUACUUGGAGCUGCUUCUGGUUAAAGUGUACUAAUUGCUAACAUGCAGCACUGGGUGCCUAGCACUGUUUUAAGCACUGUGUAUAUAUAUUUUCUCAAUGAAUCUUUCCCAUUAGUGACUGUUGCUAAGUCCGUCUGGUUAGUUUCCGUGGCUGAGAGUGCACUUUCUAACAUAAAUGAACAUUUUGGUCCCCACUUAAAAUUAACUUUACAUGGCUCAGAAACUAAUGUCUUAAUUAUUCUUUAAUGGCAAUAUCUGAAUGCUUGUGAUUUCCUUCUUUCUUUGUCAGAGAAUUAUGAUAGAUUUAAACUUUUUUAGUUGGUGUGUAGCCCAUUCAGGAAGUGCACUGAUCAUAAGUUUAGCUCAAUAAUUGAUCAAGUGGUGAACGUGCCCAGGUAAACAGGUGAAGAAAUAGAAUGUGAUAGCAACCCUGAGUCCCCUUCAUACCCCUUCCCAGUCACUACCCACCUAUCCAAAGGUAACCAUCACCCCGACUGCUACCAUAUGAUAGAUUUUUUUUUUUUAAAGGUUAGCUUUUGUUUUCUUUAACUCAACAUAAUUUAUUGGGCAACCAUUAUAUGCCUGGUGCUGAGGAUACAGACAGUGAAAGAGGAAUCAGCCCUUGCUCCUGGAGCUCACACUCUGCUGGGAAAGGCAGAGUAAUUCAGUAAAUCACUAAUUACAAGUCUUCACUGUGCUGAGUGUUACGAAAGCAGAGGGACAUGGGCCUAUGGGAGCAGACAUCAGGGUGCCCUGGAAAACAGUCAUUGGAUUUUUGGGCAAGUUUAUUUUCUUAAAGAUACAGUGAGGGGAAAGGGUAAAAUGACAAAGGUUAUAUGGAUCAGUAAAGGGUUAUGUUGUCAGAAUGCCGACUUGGGUUUUGUUUUCAACUCUAUAAAUGUUAGGACCACUUCAUCCUUCCAGAAAUAAGAUGUGGGAUGUGUGAUGUGGAUGGGGAAUAUACUGUCUUUGGAGCUGACUCAGAGUUACUGAACUUUAUGAGGCUCCCGCUAACACUGAGGGGAAAGGCAUGCAAAGUGAGUAUACUGCAAACAUUGCAAAAUAAAAGGGAUAUGUUUUUCUAUGUGAUGAAAACGAUUAGAUUUUUUCCAGUCAUUUCAUUUUAGUGCAGAGGUUGUAAUUAUAAUUUUAGUUGAUUAAGAAGAGCUCAAUCACAUGUGUGGGUUUAAAACAGGAAAUGUUUUGGCGUAGGUGAGCUUCCAGAAAGAUUCUAAAGCAGGACAAAACUAUGUAGUUUUGUCUAUGUAGAUGACAUUAUUAACACUUCUAGGAAUAGGCACCUCUUCUUAACCCACUGUCUCUGAUAUAACUGUCUAGGGUCAGCUCUCUAUAUAAGAGAGGUUCUAGCCUUUAUUCUUAAGCAAACCAGCCUACUCUGAGUUAUGUUAGUACAUAACUUAGGAUUUAUCUGUAUGGAAUCACAAAUACAUUGGAUCAAAGAGAAAAUAUUGGGAAAUGAAUCAUACUUGUGCAGUCAAGUAAAAUAUUUUUUGUGUUUGUCCAAUAGGGACUUGAAUGAAUUUUUAUUUUCACUUAUGGCUCAAGGAGACAUAAAAAUUCCACUCUGGAAAGUAAGGGAUGGCAAUAUUAAUAUCACAAAGUGGAAUUUAAGGAAAAGACAUAAAUGAACCUAAAAGCGUUGUUUAAUGCACAUAUGGAGGAAUACAUUCUGCAGUCAAUGUGAAACCAUUUCUAAACCUCCUGAAGGUCAUCGAAAAGUUCCAAGUUUCCAUAGUGGACCCCAGCAUAAGAAACGAUUUAAGUUCAUUUUCUCUGGCCACAGUUCUUGACUCUUUCUAUAUCCAUGCUCUUUGCAGUGUGACUUUGCAGCGCCUCUUAUUAUGAGGUGGAGUCUCUUCUGACCUCUUGAAUUUGGGCUUACUUUGUAAUAGAACGUGGCAGAAGUGACAGUUUGCAGGUUUUCAGCCUUGGCCCUGUUUGCUUCCUCUUUCUUUCUUGGACCUCUGCUUCUCCAUGUAAACAAGCCCAGGCUGAUCUGCUCAAGGAAGAGAGACCACGUGGAAGAGAGAUGUGGGCCCCAGCUUACAGGCAGCCAACCACAAAACACGAGAGAGCCCAGCAGACAUCAGCACAGCUGCAGAUGCAGGAAAAACUGAUGACAGAAGCCUGAAUGAGCCCAGUUACAGAAAGCUGCUAAGCACAUCGCUUCUGUCCUAAUAAUGAGAAAAUGACAGAUAAACUACAAAAUCGUUACUUUUGUUGAGCUCAUGAGAAAGAUGAGGUUGUGAGGCAACCAAGUAACCUCAUUCAGAAGAGAGACAAGCCCCUCUGAGGAGAAAUGGGCUUCACAACUGUCUCCAUUCUGGCAGAGCAUGGGGAGGAGAGGCACGGCCACUAUCCACGUGGGGAGAAGAAAUCAGCUAAAUUGUAACACAAAAUCCAUGUGUGGGUGAGUGUGUAAAUCUGGGAAAGCUGAGGUAGAAGAGGAGUUUCCACUCAGCUACAAACUCUUCCACAGACUUCCACCAGGUGCUCACAAGAAAUAUUGGGAGCAGGGCAGGAGGCUGGCCCUCUUGAGCCCACCUCUGAGGUCCAGGCAGAGGGAGGCAAUCAAUGGAUGUUGGGGACACAAAAUGCCAUUGGCGUCCCUGGAUUUUCCUCCUUUAGGGAUCAAAAGCUCUAAGCUACUGUGGGUAGGGCAGCAAACUCAGUUACCCACAGGGUUCAAAGUGAUCAGUGGAUGUGAGGCCCAAGGCCCUGCCUACUAACCUGGACAAUUUUCCCUGGACAGUAGACUACAACCUCAAGUCUCUGGAGUGGCAGAGCCUAUUACUCCCAGGGCAGACGGACCAAGAUGUGUUGCUUAAUAUCUGCAUGAAAAGCACUUGAUAACAUUGAACAUCCAUUUAUGAUAAAAACUCCGCAAACUAGAACUUCCUCAAUCUGAUAAAGGACAUCUACAAAAACCCUAUGGCUACCAUUAUACUUAAUGCUGGAAGAUUGAAUCUAUAAAUUGUGGUACGUCCCUACAAUGGAAUACUUCUCAUCAAUAAGAUGGAUGAAUCUCAAAAGCAUUACGGUGUCCCUCUCAGCCCCGUCUUAGGAAAAGCAAGGCCCCUUUCUAAGGGUGCCGUUGGGUGCGAGCGUCCAGUGCCAAUGGUUAUGAGCAGGUAUGUGGGAUAGUGGAGGUGGGACGUGUUUCACAUUACUGUACAAAGGCCUGUCUGGGUGUCUAAGAAAGUAAAAGGUGGGGGCUGUUUGGGUUAAAGGCAGGGUUUCUGCUUCCCGUUGUUUGGGUGAUUUAAAAGAACAUGCAUUCCUUUGUUUAUUCACUCAUCAACAAGUGCAUACCUACUAUGUGCCAGACAUUGCAAUAAGUGCUGGGACUGUGGAUCAAGGCAGACUUGGGCGCUGACCUCAGGCAUCUGACCGUCUCCUGGGUAGUGAGGGAUGUACAAAUAGAGGCAUGCAGAAAGUGCCAGGGGGCUAAGAGAGCGCUUGACAGGAGAGAAGAGGCAUUCUUUUUGCAGUGUGGCAGCUGUGAAGCACCCUUGAGGAAGUUCCAUUUAUGCUGAGGCCUGAAGUCUAAGGAGUGUUUGGCCUGCAAAGGAUGAGGGGAGAAUGUUCCGGGCAAAGGCCCUGCGUGAGGAUGGAACCUGGUUAGUUUGAGGAACUAAUGGAAGUACAGAGUGUGAGGAGAAGCACAGAAGUACAGAGUGAGGGAGGAUGUGGCACAAGAAUUUGGCAAGGUCAUGUGGCUUCAGAGGGAGGAGUCCUCAUUGGAUUCUGAGUGCAAGGGGAAGCUUGAAGCUGAAGGGUAGCAGGACGCGGUUUAGGCCUGUAAAAGCCCAGUCUGGCUGCUAGUGGAGAAAUGCCUGGAGGGCUCGGGGCUUGAGUGUGGAGGUACCAGGACUGGCUCCCAGCUGUCUGGCUGGAGCCCCUGAGUGAAUGGAUGCACUGUAUGCUCAGGUGGGAAAUAUCAGAGGGCAACUAUAUCUGGGCAUUAGAAUACUCAGAUUUUUCUUAUUGUGGUAAUAUAUGUCUUACCACAAUAAGAAAAAUCCGAGUAUCGGCAACCAUCAUUCUACUUUCUGUC